AUUGAACGCUGGCGGCAGGCCUAACACAUGCAAGUCGAGCGAGCGGCGGACGGGUGAGUAAUGUCUGGGAAACUGCCUGAUGGAGGGGGAUAACUACUGGAAACGGUAGCUAAUACCGCAUACCAUCAGAUGUGCCCAGAUGGGAUUAGCUAGUAGGUGGGGUAACGGCUCACCUAGGCGACGAUCCCUAGCUGGUCUGAGAGGAUGACCGGCAAAACUGGAAUUGAGACACGUUCCAGCCUCCUCGGGGGGGCAGCAGUGGGGAUUAUUGCCCAAUGGGGGAAAGCUGACUGCAGCAAUGCCGGGUGUGGGAAGAAGGCCUCGGGGUUGUAAAGCACUUUCAGCGGGGAGGCGUUACCCGCAGAAGAAGCACCGGCUAACUCCGUGCCAGCAGCCGCGGUAUAC
This 405-nucleotide ribosomal RNA is filed under the name uncultured bacterium. Its description in RNAcentral is "partial 16S ribosomal RNA". It matches the Rfam family "Bacterial small subunit ribosomal RNA", at positions 29 to 526 of the family's 1533-position model. The record is from RNAcentral.